This 253-nucleotide ribosomal RNA is filed under the name uncultured bacterium. Its description in RNAcentral is "partial 16S ribosomal RNA". It matches the Rfam family "Bacterial small subunit ribosomal RNA", at positions 524 to 776 of the family's 1533-position model. The record is from RNAcentral.
UACAGAGGUCCCGAGCGUUGUCCGGAUUCAUUGGGCGUAAAGGGUGCGUAGGCGGCGGGGCAAGUCUGAUGUGAAAUCCCGGGGCUCAACCCCGGAACUGCAUUGGAUACUGCCUUGCUUGAGUACUGGAGAGGGAACUGGAAUUUACGGUGUAGCAGUGAAAUGCGUAGAGAUCGUAAGGAAGGCCAGUGGCGAAGGCGAGUUCCUGGACAGUUACUGACGCUGAGGCACGAAGGCCAGGGGAGCAAACGGG